This is a long non-coding RNA of Spinacia oleracea (spinach), 2266 nucleotides long. RefSeq lists it as uncharacterized. The transcript has 5 exons. NCBI's taxonomy places the organism in Eukaryota, Viridiplantae, Streptophyta, Magnoliopsida, Caryophyllales, Amaranthaceae. The record is from RefSeq and is a predicted model, not a curated record.
AACUUAUUCCCUCCCAUUAUUUCCAAAAAUUUCAAAUCACGCGCCUUGAAUUAUUCCCACAAAAUUUUUAAAAAAAAAGAAAAAAGAAAAAUGGAAAACAGAAAUUAGGAAAAACACAAACACUUUCUACUCCACCAAAGAAAUAGAGAGGAGAGAGACUAAGAGCGUUUACAAAGUUAGGGUUUCGAAAGGUGAUUUGAUCUGCAAUUCACAAUUUGGUCCGAGCUUAAUCGAAUUUACAAAGUUAGGGUUUCGAAAGGUCUAUGGAGUUGAUCUGCAAUUCACAAUUUGGUCCGAGGCGUAAUCGAAUAUCUUGCAAGGUCUAGCCAUUGGUUGCGAAAAUUCUCUCUCUCAUGUCGCUUAAUCGAGUCAGAGGGUUAAAUUGGAGCAACUUACCAGGACAAAUUCUCCUUAAACCAGCCGAGUAAUUCACGCUCUUUUGGUUGGAUUGCUGAGAUUGUGAAGAAAGGUUUGACACCUUCUCAGAUUUGUGUGAUUUUGAGGGAUUCUCACGAGUUCGGUAUUGUAGAACGAGAAGCUGGAAACGGUGGUAUAUUUCAGCUUGCAUCCUCUUGGAAAUCUGGCAUAUAACUCUUGUAGAUUCUGGAAGUUGCUCUUGUUAUUUUUGGUAUCUAUUCCCUUCAACUCUUUAGAUCGAGUUCAUCAGUUCCUGUUGUACAUUAUCCUUGAAUGUGAUGAUACUUUGCCUUUUCAAAUAGAGUCGUCUUUGUACAUUAACCUUUAUGGGUCUUUCCCCGGCCUUCUCCUUAUAACUAAUCAAGUACAAUUGUGAAAUUACCAUUUUUCUGAUUAAUAAAUCAUGUGCCUACUACAUUUAUGUUUUCAGUCACUUGAUAUGUCAAUUUACGAAGGGAAUCCUGCUGAUGUUAUUCAUCCCAUGAGGCUUGAGUUUGAUGUUUUUGCAGCCUUAUUUUGUUUGCUGAGUUUUGUUGUAGUUGUUUAGUUUAUUCUUAGUGGUUUAGUUUUGUGGUUGGUUUCUUUUUACCGCAUACCUACUCAGCACAAAACAGAAUUAGAAUCAUCAAGAAUUUAUAUUUUAUUUAUUAGAAUCAUCAAGAAUUAGAAACACCUGUAGUUGUACUUUAUCCUUCCUUCACCCACUCCUCUGAUUUUAUGUUUAAUUUGCCAUUAUGUCCCCCAUACAAAAUAGAUGGCUGGCAUAACAUUUGUGUGACUUAUGUUUGUAUAGGCUUCUGUAGUUGUUUAUCAUUUUCUUCCCCCUAUUUAAAAGUUCAGCUUAUUACACUUUAGUUCAUAUCUGCAGUGUAAAACCUGUUUGUGGAAAGUCAUAUGCUUGGUAGUGUUUCAGCUAGUGAAAGCGAUUCCAAAGGAUGCAUCUAGUCGCCGCAUGUUAGUGAGCAAAACGGGCAGUCCGGGGGGACAAGUAGGACAAUUAACUAGUUUUGGAGCUGCUUGUCUAUUCUGAUAUGCAAAUGUUGUCCUGCACCUCCUGCUGAUGUUAUUGUUCUGCUCUUCUUCCGGUUUUGCAUUGUUCCUUCUGGGAUGCUUAAUGUUUCUGCUUUAUGCUAUGUUUACUGUUUCUGGAUAGAUGGGAGGUGGUGACAUACAACACUGUUAUACUCUCCUGACAGCUGCUACAAGAUCUUCCCAGAAAUCUGGCUGCCAUACAUUGACUACUUCAUCUCCCUUUCUUUUAUAAUUUACUUUUAAAUCCUCAUUGUGUUUCAUUUAUUUUUUAAAUCCUCUGUAAGUUGAUAUGCUGGUAAAAUAGUUAACUAUCUGAUUUUUCUCCUUGCAGACCUAGACUCACAUGGUUUGAGGGUCUGAAAUUGAUUUGGCUGGUUAUAUUAGAUUCAAUUGCAGUUUAUUUUGAGUGGUUCUGCAGUAACCACUUUUGAAUAAAUAUAUAUUGUUUGCUGGACAUAUAUAUAUUGUCUACAUUUCUGACAAUCAUCAUCUCAUAGAAUGGUUUUGCCAAUAUAUAUCAUCUCAUAGAAUUGUUUGCUGCACAGAUUCAUCAUCUCAUCUCAUAGAGCAUGGUGAGCUAAAUGGAGAAGAAAUGUAGAUCUAGCAAUGACAUGGUGGAGGCUCUUGUUUGUUUUUGAGUCAUUUUGUGAUUUCUAGUAAUGUACGUUGAAUUUGUUUAUGUGGAUUUUAAUUUUAUGCAUUUUGUCAUUAAAAACACUAAAUUAAUUAGUGAACGAUUAUUUUGUAAUGCAUGUGUCCUAUGGGCAUUAAUAUUAUAAUAUUACUCUUUAAGUCAAUGAAAAUCUUUUAUUAUUGA